This 335-nucleotide long non-coding RNA is filed under the name Rattus norvegicus (Norway rat). Its description in RNAcentral is "long non-coding RNA NONRATT028309". The record is from RNAcentral. Lineage: Eukaryota; Metazoa; Chordata; Mammalia; Rodentia; Muridae.
CAACAUCAAUCUCUGGCCUCCAGACAUACUUAUGCAGAUGUGUAUGCACACACAUGUACACGCUUACAUACAUGGAUAUGUAUGUACACACAAUACACAUACACAUACAUAGAUAUGUAUGGACACACAUACACACUUUCAUACAGAUAUGUACAAACACACAUAUAUUUAUUUACACGCGCACACGCACGCAUACACAUACACAUACACAUACCUGCAUGCAGAAUCCUUUUCACCCUGGCUGCCUCCACUUCAUCUGUCUCCAGGAUGUUUCAGAUUCUUUGCUGACUGGAGUCCCUGUCACCACCCAUUUGUGAGCCGUGAUGCCUGCACCC